AUUGUUCUUUCACCACACUUACGCUUCUCCAAAUUUAGAAAGAAGCUGUGUACACAAUGUUCUUGCGAGUUACAAUUACGCGUCCGGUUUGGCGGCAACUUCAAAGAGUGGACAUAUGGUUGCUCCUUCAGGUAGCUAUAAUUACCCUCUCUAUAAUGCAAUAUCGUAUUAUCCAGUUGUAAUGAAUGAUAGUAACACUUAAUCGGAUUGGAUUCAGUUAAAUCUACAUUUCUCAAGGUCUCUAACAUUGAGAUUUGAUUAUCUUUCAUGUCAAUACCUUCUUUGUCAUGUGACUUGUAUAUAUUCGUGUACAUUCAGAAUCGUACCUUCGCACAAUGUCUUUGCACAAUGGCACAAGCAACGUGGUCUCUUUCUGUAAAAAAUAGCACUCUUUAUUUCAGCCACAGCAAAGAUCCCGAACCACGUGCAGUCAGCAGAGUUACAGCGUCUGGUUACCGUCUUGCAGUUACGAUACAGAAUAUGUGCACAUAGCUUUCAAUGACCAGACGAAAAAAAGAAUUCAUUUCAAGUAUGUUGAGAAGAAAACGACCCAUCUCUGAAAAAGUCACCUCACCCAAGAAAUGAGAAUGAAAAGUGCAAAGUCUCCCAAGGAAUUGUCUUGUAAUAAAGCAUGUGAAUAAAUAAUUUUUUGAAAUA
Molecule: long non-coding RNA, 657 nt
Organism: Haliotis rufescens (red abalone)
Lineage: Eukaryota; Metazoa; Mollusca; Gastropoda; Lepetellida; Haliotidae
Exons: 3
Source: RefSeq, a predicted model, not a curated record